Eutrema salsugineum is the source of this 337-nucleotide long non-coding RNA. RefSeq lists it as uncharacterized. The record is from RefSeq and is a predicted model, not a curated record. Lineage: Eukaryota; Viridiplantae; Streptophyta; Magnoliopsida; Brassicales; Brassicaceae. The transcript is spliced from 4 exons.
GUGGAACGCCUUCGAUUGCUGAUUAGUUAAGGUUGAUGAAUGAAUCGAUGAGGUGAACUCUCUAAAAAAUUCAGCUGAUGCAUGAUUAAUUCCACUUGAUGAAUCGAUUAGUGGUAGCGAUGUGAAGAUGGAUUUGGUUCUGGUGACAUCUAUGUCGACAUGGAAAGGUUUUGCUCUGAGUUUGGUCUGUUUCUUCAAGAUAAUCAUAAGUUUCUGAAUCUAUUUGUUGCUGCUGCUAGGCCUGUUCACGAGGUAGCAGGACUAAUUGGAGGGCUUAAAGGAUGCAUGGCACAAUCGUUAUGAGCAGAUGGUUUUGUAUGAGUAGAUGGGUAUUUUG